This is a long non-coding RNA of Drosophila miranda, 1511 nucleotides long. RefSeq lists it as uncharacterized. NCBI's taxonomy places the organism in Eukaryota, Metazoa, Arthropoda, Insecta, Diptera, Drosophilidae. The transcript is spliced from 4 exons. The record is from RefSeq and is a predicted model, not a curated record.
ACGUCAUUGGACUGCUGCAACUGCCAUGGAUCGAGCAUUAGGCCAAUGAGAAGAAGAUUCACCAGUGGCUGCUGUAACUGUCGGACAGGCCUUCGUUGGAUGCUGGAUAUACUGCGGUGCGGAUUUGGCGAGCCAGUCAAAAGGCGAUUCCAGGGACGGAAAUGUGCACCGGCAAUGGACGAGGCCCGUGCAGAAGGGAGCAUUGCAGCCGGCUCGCUGCGCCCAGCCAGAGGAUUCGCAACAGGAUAGCUGGCCACCGGAUGGACUACUCGCCUCCGCUUUCGUCGUGGAUUCACCAGGAGGCCGUCAGUAGCUGUGCCGUUUGCCUGUAGAUAGAAGUUUUGGAGUAGAGAUAGGCUGCUGCAGGCUGCGAAGCGGAUUCGGAGAAGUUGCCAGAGAGUCAUUCCGGAUACGCAGGUCAAUCCCGGCAGUAGGCGAGGCCCUUAUAGAAGAUGGCGUGGGAGGCCGCUCGCUGCAGGCAGCCAUAGGAAUUACAGCAGGACGGCAGGCCAACGGAUGGACUGCUGGGCGCCAGAUUUGCCUUGGAUGCACCAAGAGGCCGUCAGUAGCUGUGAUAUUUGCCUGUAAAUAAAGGUUUUGGAGCAGCCAUAGCUUUUGGUUGUGCAGCUUCUACACACACAGAUGAGGCUUCCUGGUGCGGAUUUGUGCGGGCUCGGCUUUCUUCGGCGGCAAAUGCUGCGUCCAUCUCGUCGUCGAGUUCCUUCUCAAGCUGCUGCUGCAGGGACUUCAUCUGCUCUUCGAGAAGCUGCUCUGGAGUAGGCGGAGGGAGUUCGUGCGGUUCAAGCGGAGUCAUUAUGAGCCUUUGUAUGUAUUCAGGUUCAAAACGAAUCUUCUGUGCCAUUUCUAAUCGAUUCAUUUCUCCUCUUCUGAGACAUUGCGCCAUACAAUUAACCCAGAUUAUUGAGGGUCUCUCCUGCGGGAUACCAAGGGCUAUGCAACGCUCUUGUUCAAGGCGUUUCCGUUCGACAAGUGCUUCCUUGGCUUUUUGUGGUUGUGUGUCGACGGCGCGAGCACAAUAAGACUGAUUGGCCACAGUGACCCUCAGCUAAUUUUAUUUGUUUUCGCAAUCUACAUUUGAACGCAUUUACAAAUAUUUUUAACGGCUGUUAUUUAACAGCUGAACCACUAAUUACACAUGGUUGGGACAUUUAACUUUACAUUACAAGAAAUCAAGACACUCUGGCAACAACGUGCAUUUGUUUACAUUUAGAAAUUGCAUUCGGACGUAUAUGUAUAUAGGUAUGGACCUCUAUCAUCAGCUCACUGGAUGGAAUUGGGUCUGUACAAGUUGGCUUGAGCAGGUGUCAAAACAAUGGACCCGGUGAUUUCAUCAGGCUGCUGCAACCUCAGGGGAAGUAUAAAGCCGCACCGUAAGUGAGUAAGUAUUUGAUUUUUAUAGAUUGCUUCGCUUAUAUGCUUCCAGAGGGCGUGUCUUUCGGUGUGCGCCUUUCCACCAUUGGCGCACUGGACGGCGGUGAAAUUUCAGGUGA